Molecule: ribosomal RNA, 1550 nt
Filed under: Klebsiella pneumoniae
Lineage: Bacteria; Pseudomonadati; Pseudomonadota; Gammaproteobacteria; Enterobacterales; Enterobacteriaceae
Also listed under: 2 other names
Description: bacterial SSU rRNA
Rfam family: Bacterial small subunit ribosomal RNA
Source: RNAcentral
AAAUUGAAGAGUUUGAUCAUGGCUCAGAUUGAACGCUGGCGGCAGGCCUAACACAUGCAAGUCGAGCGGUAGCACAGAGAGCUUGCUCUCGGGUGACGAGCGGCGGACGGGUGAGUAAUGUCUGGGAAACUGCCUGAUGGAGGGGGAUAACUACUGGAAACGGUAGCUAAUACCGCAUAACGUCGCAAGACCAAAGUGGGGGACCUUCGGGCCUCAUGCCAUCAGAUGUGCCCAGAUGGGAUUAGCUAGUAGGUGGGGUAACGGCUCACCUAGGCGACGAUCCCUAGCUGGUCUGAGAGGAUGACCAGCCACACUGGAACUGAGACACGGUCCAGACUCCUACGGGAGGCAGCAGUGGGGAAUAUUGCACAAUGGGCGCAAGCCUGAUGCAGCCAUGCCGCGUGUGUGAAGAAGGCCUUCGGGUUGUAAAGCACUUUCAGCGGGGAGGAAGGCGUUAAGGUUAAUAACCUUGGCGAUUGACGUUACCCGCAGAAGAAGCACCGGCUAACUCCGUGCCAGCAGCCGCGGUAAUACGGAGGGUGCAAGCGUUAAUCGGAAUUACUGGGCGUAAAGCGCACGCAGGCGGUCUGUCAAGUCGGAUGUGAAAUCCCCGGGCUCAACCUGGGAACUGCAUUCGAAACUGGCAGGCUAGAGUCUUGUAGAGGGGGGUAGAAUUCCAGGUGUAGCGGUGAAAUGCGUAGAGAUCUGGAGGAAUACCGGUGGCGAAGGCGGCCCCCUGGACAAAGACUGACGCUCAGGUGCGAAAGCGUGGGGAGCAAACAGGAUUAGAUACCCUGGUAGUCCACGCCGUAAACGAUGUCGAUUUGGAGGUUGUGCCCUUGAGGCGUGGCUUCCGGAGCUAACGCGUUAAAUCGACCGCCUGGGGAGUACGGCCGCAAGGUUAAAACUCAAAUGAAUUGACGGGGGCCCGCACAAGCGGUGGAGCAUGUGGUUUAAUUCGAUGCAACGCGAAGAACCUUACCUGGUCUUGACAUCCACAGAACUUUCCAGAGAUGGAUUGGUGCCUUCGGGAACUGUGAGACAGGUGCUGCAUGGCUGUCGUCAGCUCGUGUUGUGAAAUGUUGGGUUAAGUCCCGCAACGAGCGCAACCCUUAUCCUUUGUUGCCAGCGGUUAGGCCGGGAACUCAAAGGAGACUGCCAGUGAUAAACUGGAGGAAGGUGGGGAUGACGUCAAGUCAUCAUGGCCCUUACGACCAGGGCUACACACGUGCUACAAUGGCAUAUACAAAGAGAAGCGACCUCGCGAGAGCAAGCGGACCUCAUAAAGUAUGUCGUAGUCCGGAUUGGAGUCUGCAACUCGACUCCAUGAAGUCGGAAUCGCUAGUAAUCGUAGAUCAGAAUGCUACGGUGAAUACGUUCCCGGGCCUUGUACACACCGCCCGUCACACCAUGGGAGUGGGUUGCAAAAGAAGUAGGUAGCUUAACCUUCGGGAGGGCGCUUACCACUUUGUGAUUCAUGACUGGGGUGAAGUCGUAACAAGGUAACCGUAGGGGAACCUGCGGUUGGAUCACCUCCUUACCUUAAAGAA